UACGUAGGGUGCGAGCGUUGUCCGGAAUUAUUGGGCGUAAAGAGCUCGUAGGCGGUUUGUUGCGUCGGCCGUGAAAACCUGCAGCUUAACUGUGGGCCUGCGGCCGAUACGGGCAGACUUGAGUUCGGUAGGGGAGACUGGAAUUCCUGGUGUAGCGGUGAAAUGCGCAGAUAUCAGGAGGAACACCGGUGGCGAAGGCGGGUCUCUGGGCAUUAACUGACGCUGAGGAGCGAAAGCAUGGGGAGCGAACAGG
Molecule: ribosomal RNA, 253 nt
Filed under: uncultured bacterium
Lineage: Bacteria
Description: partial 16S ribosomal RNA
Rfam family: Bacterial small subunit ribosomal RNA
Source: RNAcentral